This 319-nucleotide unclassified non-coding RNA is filed under the name uncultured fungus. Its description in RNAcentral is "partial contains small subunit ribosomal RNA, internal transcribed spacer 1, and 5.8S ribosomal RNA". The stretch from base 1 to 73 matches the Rfam family "Eukaryotic small subunit ribosomal RNA", at positions 1759 to 1831 of the family's 1831-position model. The record is from RNAcentral. Lineage: Eukaryota; Fungi.
ACAAACUUGGUCAUUUAGAGGAAGUAAAAGUCGUAACAAGGUUUCCGUAGGUGAACCUGCGGAAGGAUCAUUCACAAUACGAGUGUUUUAUGGCACUCUUUAAAAAAAAUCCAUACCCACCUUGUGUGCAAUGUAAAGAGAGGAGAUUUGGAGGGGUUGGACCUAGGGCUUAGUUCUUAGGAAGACCCCUCGAUCUCUCUUCUUUUCUUAUAUACACCUUUCUAAAGUCUAUUGUCUGAAACUGUUGGAGAAUAUCUAAUUCUUAAACACAACUUUCAACAACGGAUCUCUUGGCUCUCGCAUCGAUGAAGAACGCAGC